AAGAAAUACUGGAGGGAUGUAAUUAGACAUGACAUGGAGCAGCUUCAGCUUACUGAGGACAUGACCCUAGAUAGGAAGGUGUGGAGGUCGAGGAUAAGGGUAGAAGGCUAGUGUUAGUGUGUGGGUUGUAGCAAGCAGUCAGGAGAGUUCUUGUGUAGACGAGUUAGUAAUCAUAGGACAAUGUACAUAGGUGUCUUUGGUAUGU
Molecule: long non-coding RNA, 205 nt
Filed under: Capsicum annuum
Lineage: Eukaryota; Viridiplantae; Streptophyta; Magnoliopsida; Solanales; Solanaceae
Description: long non-coding RNA (CANN_LNC011835)
Source: RNAcentral